Molecule: ribosomal RNA, 460 nt
Filed under: uncultured marine microorganism
Description: bacterial SSU rRNA
Rfam family: Bacterial small subunit ribosomal RNA
Source: RNAcentral
UGGGGAAUUUUCCGCAAUGGGCGAAAGCCUGACGGAGCAAUACCGCGUGAGGGAGGAAUGCCUUUGGGUUGUAAACCUCUUUUCUCAGGGAAGAAGAUCUGACUGUACCAGAGGAAUAAGUAUCGGCUAACUCCGUGCCAGCAGCCGCGGUAAUACGGAGGAUGCAAGCGUUAUCCGGAAUCAUUGGGCGUAAAGCGUCCGCAGGUGGUUUCCAAAGUCUGCUGUUAAAGACUGGAGCUCAACUCCGGAACGGCGGUGGAAACUUGGAAACUAGAGUUCGGUAGGGGUAGCAGGAAUUCCCAGUGUAGCGGUGAAAUGCGUAGAUAUUGGGAAGAACAUCGGUGGCGAAGGCGUGCUACUGGACCGUAACUGACACUCAGGGACGAAAGCUAGGGGAGCGAAAGGGAUUAGAUACCCCUGUAGUCCUAGCUGUAAACGAUGGAAACUAGGUGUGGCUUGA